AGUGGGUUAGCUGGGUCAAAUGGUGAUUCCAUUCCAAAUUUUCUAAGGAAUCUCCAUACUGCUCUCUAGAUUGGUUGCACCAAUUUGCAGUCCCGCUAGCAAU
RNAcentral lists this microRNA precursor (103 nucleotides) under Marmota monax (woodchuck). The record is from RNAcentral. Lineage: Eukaryota; Metazoa; Chordata; Mammalia; Rodentia; Sciuridae.